RNAcentral lists this ribosomal RNA (743 nucleotides) under uncultured bacterium. Its description in RNAcentral is "bacterial SSU rRNA". It matches the Rfam family "Bacterial small subunit ribosomal RNA", at positions 48 to 784 of the family's 1533-position model. The record is from RNAcentral.
CGGAAACGAGUUAUCUGAACCUUCGGGGAACGAUAACCCCGAAAAAGAGGCGGACGGGUGAGUAAUGCCUAGGAAAUUGCCUUGAUGUGGGGGAUAACCAUUGGAAACGAUGGCUAAUACCGCAUGAUGCCUACGGGCCAAAGAGGGGGACCUUCGGGCCUCUCGCGUCAGGAUAUGCCUAGGUGGGAUUAGCUAGUUGGUGAGGUAAGGGCUCACCAAGGCGACGAUCCCUAGCUGGUCUGAGAGGAUGAUCAGCCACACUGGAACUGAGACACGGUCCAGACUCCUACGGGAGGCAGCAGUGGGGAAUAUUGCACAAUGGGCGCAAGCCUGAUGCAGCCAUGCCGCGUGUGUGAAGAAGGCCUUCGGGUUGUAAAGCACUUUCAGUCGUGAGGAAGGUAGUGUAGUUAAUAGCUGCAUUAUUUGACGUUAGCGACAGAAGAAGCACCGGCUAACUCCGUGCCAGCAGCCGCGGUAAAUACGGAGGGUGCGAGCGUUAAUCGGAAUUACUGGGCGUAAAGCGCAUGCAGGUGGUUUGUUAAGUCAGAUGUGAAAGCCCGGGGCUCAACCUCGGAAUUGCAUUUGAAACUGGCAGACUAGAGUACUGUAGAGGGGGGUAGAAUUUUCAGGUGUAGCGGUGAAAUGCGUAGAGAUCUGAAGGAAUAUCGGUGGCGAAGGCGGCCCCCUGGACAGAUACUGACACUCAGAUGCGAAAGCGUGGGGGAGCAAACAGGAUUAAGAUU